RNAcentral lists this non-coding RNA (161 nucleotides) under uncultured Prevotella sp. Lineage: Bacteria; Pseudomonadati; Bacteroidota; Bacteroidia; Bacteroidales; Prevotellaceae. The record is from RNAcentral.
AAUAGGUUCGCUUGACGGCGAUGAAAAGGGAAACGAGUGAAAAUCUUGUACAGUCCCGCUGCUGUGAGCUGUCCUUUAUGGGGCGAGCACAUGCCACUGAGUACUUUGCUCGGGAAGGCGUUCGCCACCAGACAGUGUAGUCAGAAGACCUGCCUGUUGUG